CAGCCGCCGCGGUAAUACGUAGGUGGCAAGCGUUGUCCGGAAUUAUUGGGCGUAAAGGGCUCGCAGACGGUUUCUUAAGUCUGAUGUGAAAGCCCCCGGCUCAACCGGGGAGGGUCAUUGGAAACUGGGAAACUUGAGUGCAGAAGAGGAGAGUGGAAUUCCACGUGUAGCGGUGAAAUGCGUAGAGAUGUGGAGGAACACCAGUGGCGAAGGCGACUCUCUGGUCUGUAACUGACGCUGAGGAGCGAAAGCGUGGGGAGCGAACAGGAUUAGAUACCCGAGUAGUCCCUGUCUCUUAUAC
RNAcentral lists this ribosomal RNA (301 nucleotides) under uncultured bacterium. RNAcentral describes it as "partial 16S ribosomal RNA". It matches the Rfam family "Bacterial small subunit ribosomal RNA", at positions 509 to 807 of the family's 1533-position model. The record is from RNAcentral.